This is a long non-coding RNA of Dreissena polymorpha, 464 nucleotides long. RefSeq lists it as uncharacterized. The transcript has 3 exons. The record is from RefSeq and is a predicted model, not a curated record. NCBI's taxonomy places the organism in Eukaryota, Metazoa, Mollusca, Bivalvia, Myida, Dreissenidae.
CACGGUGCCUAUACCACGUGACUUUUUAAGAUCUGUGUGGGGACUAAAAUGUCAACAAAAGCGCGACGAAGGUAUGGCCCAAUGCUCCGAAUGCGGAAAAAUGUUGAAGACCAGAGCUGGAUUAUUGCGCCACAUUAGGAGAUACGCUAACUCUGGAAACUAUUACUGCUGUGGGAAAGCAUUUCAGAAGGCUUCAAAGAACGAAGGACCCCACGAUGUGUGUACAGUGCGGCAGGAGCUUUUCGGACAAGUACCUACCUACCCGUGGCUCGAGAGAAAAGUGCAAAAAAGAGGGAUAGUCGAACUGUUACCAGUGUGGGUUGGCAGUUAGGAGUGAGAUUGACCUCAAAGAGCACGACAAGCCCCACAUGCCUGACAAGUAUUACAUAUAUGAGGAGUGUUUCAAACGUACAGUCGCAAAAAAAACCUCUCUCGACACGUGAGCACUUCACAUAAAUCCGUGA